RNAcentral lists this long non-coding RNA (1224 nucleotides) under Oreochromis niloticus (Nile tilapia). RNAcentral describes it as "lncRNA (ENSONIG00000030412.1)". Lineage: Eukaryota; Metazoa; Chordata; Actinopteri; Cichliformes; Cichlidae. The record is from RNAcentral.
AUGUGCAGAGGAAGGAUAGUGGAUCUACUGGACAAAAGUAGUGGAACAUGGAGGUUCCAGACAGGAGGUAAAAGAGAAAGACCACAGAGAAAGUUUUGGGGUGCAGUAGGAGGAGAUAUUCCUCUUAUUAUUAUUAUUAUUAUUAUUAUUAUUAUUAUUAUUAUUAUAGGACGAGAGACAGCGGUAAGAGGAAAGGAGGGGGACUGGCAGUGUUUGAAUGACAGAUGGUGUAACCCUGGGCACAUCACUGUGAAAGAACAACUCUGCAGCAGAGACAUUGAGCUGUUAGUCGUUAGCAUGCGUCCGUACUACCUGCCCCGGGAAUUCUCGCAUGUUAUCGCGAUAACAGCGUAUGUUCCCCCCUCAGCCAACGCGGAUGCAGCCUGUGACUCUCUCCACUCUGUGGUCAGCAGACUGCAAACACAAUCUCCGAGAGCCCUUCUCAUAAUAUCAGGGGACUUUAAUCAUGCCUCACUGGACUCCACACUGCCCACCUUCACCCAGCAUGUGACCUGCCCAACCAGAGACAAUAAAACACUGGACUUACUGUAUGCCAAUGCUGAAGAGGCAUAUAGUUCAUCACCCCUCCCUCCACUGGGCAGAUCUGAUCACAACCUGGUGCACCUUGUCCCUGUGUAUGAGCCCUUAGUGCGCAGGGAGCCACCAGCCACCCGCACAGUGCAGAGAUGGUCGGAGGAGAGCGAGGAGGCUCUUAAGGAUUGUUUUGAGUCGACUGUGUGGGAGGUGAUCUGUGAUGACCAUGGAGAGGACAUCGACAGCCUUACUACAUGCAUUACUGACUAUAUUAAUUUCUGUGUGGAUAACACUGUACCUACCAGGACUGUACGGUGUUUCUCCAACAACAAACCUUGGAUUACCCCAGAAAUUAAAGCUGUCCUCAAGCAGAAGAGGAGGACCUUCAAAUCCAGAGACAAAGAGGAGUUGAAAAGGGUGCAGAGAGAGUUGAGGGGACUGAUAAGGAAUGGGAAGGACAGCUACAGGCAGAAGAUGGAGAACCAGCUUCAGCAAAACAACGUUGGUGAAGUCUGGAGAGGCCUCAGAACCAUCUCAGGCCACAAACAUCAGAACUCUCUGCCUGGGAGGGAUGUGAGGUGGGCAAAUGAACUGAAUCAUUUCUUCAACAGAUUUGAUUCAGCCAUGAGGCAGUCUCCAAGACUUUGUGGACUGGUGCCAGCUGAACUACCUCCAGAUCAACGCCAGUAA